Bradysia coprophila is the source of this 227-nucleotide long non-coding RNA. The record is from RefSeq and is a predicted model, not a curated record. NCBI's taxonomy places the organism in Eukaryota, Metazoa, Arthropoda, Insecta, Diptera, Sciaridae.
AUAUUUGCAAGUCUCCAUAGCACUGCUACUAGCUCGAACACUCAUUCUAUCAACGUCAAAAUAGCCUCCAAAUUUCAAAGAUGUAUGCGUGUGCAAUUGCAUGUGUUGUGCGUUUUUAUUCACACCAACAAAUCAUGACUCCUGUCUCUACGAAAGAAAUACAAUGCCUAUUAAGAUAGCAUUAACCUCCAAAUAUUUCUUAUGUUCAUGCUAGUAGCAGAGCUGUG